UGUCGUUGUCGGUGGCGGUAGUGGCUCAGUGCAUAGCUCGGACGCAUCAAUACUUGCCUAUCCAUUGGUUGCCAUCGACGAAAUUCCACGACAAGAAUGGUCGCGCCUGCGCGUCGGUAAGCUCCUUGGACCAGUUCACUCGUCCCUUGGUGUCAGCUCCGACGCCUGUGCACUUGUAUUGCCCGUAAUACACCGUCCUGAAGCAUCGACAGUUUGUAACUUAAGUUUGUUGGAUCGGCAUCCUCUCAAGUCUAGAAAAGUAUGAUACUAGCAAGAUUGGAAAGCUGUAGGGGUAACUCGGAAGUGUGUGUGUUUUUUAGGUGGUGAUGGACAAUCUGGAGAUGGUGGUGAAGUAAGAGAGGGAGUGGAGAUCUUACUUUUCUCUAGCAGGAUCGCCCCAGUUGUACCACCCUGCGGGAAUAAUGGGGGCGGAGAUGUCGGUGUACAGGAGCACGACCCUGGAGUAAGGACCCCAAGCGCGGCCAAUGUAGAUAGGCCCGUUCCCGGUGACGUUGCAACGAACGAAGGAAAACCCGCUAGUCUCCGCUUUCGUCAUCUUCUUCUGGGCGGUCAAGGACCCGCUGCCAGGGUUGGCAAUCGAGUGCAAAUGACAUGUCUGCAUUGGGAUUCAAUCGGUGAGUUUGGAAUUCACUGGAGUUGUUCCUGUUUUCCUGAUGUCCUACUCAGUUGAGCGUUUCGCGGAGUGACUGAAGAGUUGCGAGAGAAUGUAGUUGGCAGGUUUUUACCUCAUAAUACGACUGACCGUUGCCGAAGACGAAGUCGAUGGAGCCCUGGAUGUAGCAAUCUUUGAAGUAAUGCCUCCCCUGCUUGUCGUAUAAGGUAUCCUGGGCUCCGAGGAAGGCCACGCGAUAGAACUGAGCCUUGUCUCCUUCGAUUCUGAAUGCUACUGCUUGCUGCCCCACAGCACCGCCUGGUGGAGGAGGGCUCGAGUUCUGUUCCCCAACCCAUGGUGAUGCCACUUUAGAACAUGACGUCUUUAGGAAGCAGAGUGACAGUUUAGCUACACAGCAUGCGAAUCAGUUGGGUACAGAAGGAGGUUGCAAGCAACGCUUACAAAAUUAGUGGCUUGAGUAUGAUGACUGAUAGAAGCAUGACUAAAGAGAUAGUGUUUCGUUUGUUUGUUUGUUUGUUUUUUUUUUUUUUUUUUUUUUUUUUACCUCGAAGGUGAGGUCCUUGGCAACAAAAUAAUCAGACAUGACAGCGAAGGAAGCACUCUGAGAUGUGGAACCCGCUUCCUCUGCAGUAUCGCCGUAUGACAGGAUCGUUACGCCAGCACCCGCUCCUUCAAUUGUUAUGUAGGGCUUAUCCUUUGGGAUUUCGAUCUUCUCCCUGCCACAUCAGAAUUCCACCAGUUUGAUCUGAUUCAGAAGCUCUUCUUUCAUGGCCAUGUCCAGCUACUUAAGACAUUAAAUCCCGAGUUUAAUUUGCCAAAGGCGCUUGUAGAAUUGAGUUGCCGUACUGCCUAGAGGACUUCUUUCGAGCCUUCAUGACAAAGUUAGCGAACAUUGUCCAAGAUGGUGAACACAAACACUUACUUGUAGAAACCUUUAGCAAUUCUGAUGACGCAUCGAACAGAGUUGCCUUUAGGAAUCGACUUGAUUGCAGCUUUCACUUUUGUGUACUUCGCUCCAGACCCUUUCUUCCCCACUGUCCUUAUGCAAGUGGCCUCUUGUGGCGGCGAGGGGGUUGCCUCGACGCUGAAAUCUCCACCUGGAAGGGUCUGAGUGUCCAAAACAGUUGAUUCGGAGUUCUGAGCCUCAUACUUGGCUUGGUUACGUGCAAUCCAGGCGUCAAAAUCUUCCUCUGGAGUUGGUACAGUCUGAGACGAAACUGUGAGAAAAAAUCCUGUUGCUAAGACGAGGGUGCACAGAAGAGCAGCUCUAGA
RNAcentral lists this long non-coding RNA (1906 nucleotides) under Physcomitrium patens. RNAcentral's name for it is "long non-coding RNA (PPAT_LNC013973)". Lineage: Eukaryota; Viridiplantae; Streptophyta; Bryopsida; Funariales; Funariaceae. The record is from RNAcentral.